AGUGAACGCUGGCGGCGUGCUUAACACACGCAAGUCGAACGAGAACGGAUUAUAGCUUGCUAUAAUUGUCAGCUAAGUGGCGCACGGGUGAGUAACGUAUAGGUAAUAUGCCUCUUACUAAGGGAUAACAAAUGGAAACGUUUGCUAAUACCUUAUACUCCUUAUUAACAGAAGUUAAUAAGGGAAAGAUUUAUUGGUAAGAGAUUAGCCUGUAUUGUAUCAGUUAGGUGGUGGGGUAAUGGCUUACCAAGACUAUGACACAUAACUGGUUUGAGAGGAUGAUCAGUCACACGUGAACUGAAACACGGUCCAGACUCCUACGGGAGGCAGCAGUGGGGAAUAUUGCACAAUGGGCGAAAGUCUGAUGCAGCAACGCCGCGUGUAGGAUGACACAUUUCGGUGCGUAAACUCCUUUUAUAUGAGAAGAUAAUGACGGUAUUAUAUGAAUAAGCACCGGCUAACUCCGUGCCAGCCGCCGCAGUAA
This 484-nucleotide ribosomal RNA is filed under the name uncultured bacterium. RNAcentral describes it as "partial 16S ribosomal RNA". It matches the Rfam family "Bacterial small subunit ribosomal RNA", at positions 29 to 523 of the family's 1533-position model. The record is from RNAcentral.